AACGAACGCUGGCGGCAGGCCUAACACAUGCAAGUCGAACGCUCGUAGCAAUACGAGAGUGGCAGACGGGUGAGUAACACGUGGGAACCUUCCCUAUGGUUCGGAAUAGCUCAGGGAAACUUGAGGUAAUACCGGAUAAGCCCUUCGGGGAAGAUUUAUCGCCAUUGGAUGGGCCCGCGUCGGAUUAGCUAGUUGGUGAGGUAACGGCUCACCAAGGCGACGAUCCGUAGCUGGUCNGAGAGGAUGAUCAGCCACACUGGGACUGAGACACGGCCCAGACUCCUACGGGAGGCAGCAGUGGGGAAUAUUGGACAAUGGGCGCAAGCCUGAUCCAGCCAUGCCGCGUGAGUGACGAAGGUCUUCGGAUUGUAAAGCUCUUUUGGCGGGGACGAUAAUGACGGUACCCGCAGAAUAAG
Molecule: ribosomal RNA, 416 nt
Filed under: uncultured bacterium
Lineage: Bacteria
Description: bacterial SSU rRNA
Rfam family: Bacterial small subunit ribosomal RNA
Source: RNAcentral